UUGAGUUUGGAGGCUGUGACUCAUGGCUUUUUUUUUUUUUUCUCACACAGAGAAAGCCUGCCUGGGUAGAAGAGAAAGAAGCCAAGCAAAACCAAAAAACGGAUAUGAGAUGAAAAGGAAAGAGAGUAGAGUCCUGGUGACAUCAAGUCCUGGCUCUCUUUGGGGAUCCUGGAGAAGAGUAUUUUUAGGAGGCAUUACUGUGAAGCAUAGCAGGUGGCCAGAUGGUAAUGGAAGGAAACAUGGUCCCUUCUAUCGGCUACAAGAACUGAGUGGCAUUCAGAGCUUCUCUCGCAUCUUGGACUCUCAGGCUGCAGAUCCAUCACAAUGCCAUAGAACACAGAUGACACUUUCCCCUGCUUUUGAGACCCGUUGUUCCCAUGGUGUAGAUACAUGUAAGAGGGAGUGCCAUAGAAAAUGA
Molecule: long non-coding RNA, 418 nt
Filed under: Pan paniscus (pygmy chimpanzee)
Lineage: Eukaryota; Metazoa; Chordata; Mammalia; Primates; Hominidae
Description: lncRNA (ENSPPAG00000044517.1)
Source: RNAcentral